AUAACGAAUAUAAUGUGUUUGCUCACUAUAAGUCUACUAAACUUGAGAGUCUUUGGUUCAGUUUAGCCUUCGAUGGAUGGAGCUUUGCUGAUGGCGUUGUUGGAUACAUGAAUGAAGUACUAUCUGAAGAUUGGAACAUGCAAGUUUGGGGCUACAUGUAAAUUCCAUCAUCCCAGCGAAAAGGCUGGAAUCCAGGGAAUGGCGCAGCUAAACACGUUGGGAUACUCACUUUGACCGACUGUGUGUUGAGCUCGUCCAGACGGCAUCCUCCUGCAGCAAAUCCUGGUUUUUUGAUGAAUCUGUUGUUUCUUAGAUCAUGGUUAUGGGGUUGAUGCUUUCCAGCAUUGCCAGUUCAGCUAUACCAGCUACUUUUGGAGGGUUGUUCAGGGAAUAUUAGUAACAGUAUGACCUAAUGCAGUAAAGCUAUGUUCCAAAAAAUAAUCUGACAAGCGAAAUACGUAUUCAAACCAAUGGAAGGUCACUCCAUGCUCAAGUUUGCAUAAUAGUGUGUCUUCUAAAGAACAGGUCUAGAGUUAGAAUUCCAUUCUGCACCUACGAAUCAACUCAUAUUUAAAAUUUAGUUUAAAUUAUUGUAUGAACUAUGCUAUUUGAAUAGCAAGUAAAUCUAUCGAGCCAACUGUGAU
Lolium rigidum is the source of this 644-nucleotide long non-coding RNA. RefSeq lists it as uncharacterized. The transcript has 3 exons. NCBI's taxonomy places the organism in Eukaryota, Viridiplantae, Streptophyta, Magnoliopsida, Poales, Poaceae. The record is from RefSeq and is a predicted model, not a curated record.